GAUGAACGCUGGCGGCGUGCUUAACACAUGCAAGUCGAACGGUGAAGCAGGAGCUUGCUCUUGUGGAUCAGUGGCGAACGGGUGAGUAACACGUGAGCAACCUGCCCCUGACCCUGGGAUAAGCGCUGGAAACGGCGUCUAAUACUGGAUAUGUGAUGUGACCGCAUGGUCUGCAUCUGGAAAGAAUUUCGGUUGGGGAUGGGCUCGCGGCCUAUCAGCUUGUUGGUGAGGUAAUGGCUCACCAAGGCGUCGACGGGUAGCCGGCCUGAGAGGGUGACCGGCCACACUGGGACUGAGACACUGCCCAGACUCCUACGGGAGGCAGCAGCGGGGAAUAUUGCACAAUGGGCGGAAGCCUGAUGCAGCAACGCCGCGUGAGGGAUGACGGCCUUCGGGUUGUAAACCUCUUUUAGCAGGGAAGAAGCGAAAGUGACGGUACCUGCAGAAAAAGCACCGGCUAACUACGUGCCAGCCGCCGCAGUAA
Molecule: ribosomal RNA, 484 nt
Filed under: uncultured bacterium
Lineage: Bacteria
Description: partial 16S ribosomal RNA
Rfam family: Bacterial small subunit ribosomal RNA
Source: RNAcentral